This is a long non-coding RNA of Neoarius graeffei (lesser salmon catfish), 821 nucleotides long. RefSeq lists it as uncharacterized. NCBI's taxonomy places the organism in Eukaryota, Metazoa, Chordata, Actinopteri, Siluriformes, Ariidae. The transcript is spliced from 5 exons. The record is from RefSeq and is a predicted model, not a curated record.
AGCUACUUCCCCCUGAAGAGAUGGAAACAUUAUGGGCUGCAGGAAAUGAAGCAAAACAACACCUGUGAUUUCUUCUUGUCUUCAGAAAACCCAUUAAAGUCUGGGAAGGUAACAGUCCACUUUGAAAGGUCCAUACCUUUAACAGGAGCCAGAGAAGGCCGCAGGUUGUCGAGAUGGUGGAAGAAAAUCUUGUCUGCGGUGGAGUUAAUGGAGGCAGCCAUGCCGGGGAUCUCGCCGUUCGACUUGCUUCGCACACGCUUAGGGGGAUGAGGCUUCUUAAACAGCUGCACCUGUUUGGGGAUCUGGCCGAAGUUGUUGAUAAAGCCGAUGGUGGCCGUCUCUUUCAGAGGGUCGUUGAUGUUGUAGAUGUCCACUUGACCCUCAUAGAAGAGAUGGUGGAACACAUUUACAGCCUCCACUGCUGGAGGGCCCUGCUGCUUGUAGCCGAAUAUGAGGUCAAUCCAUUCAUGUAGCAGGCGGAGCAGGGUGGUGUUGUCCGUCUUCUGCUCCUCGUCUACAGCUCCACACUCCAGCAGCUCCUGCAGCUGCUCUGGGCCGUCCUCGUCUCCGCCAUCCGCUGUGGAGCGGGAACGCUUCAGAGGAGCUUUCACAAGACCUACACACACACACACACACACACACAAAUAGGCCAUCCACUAUAAAAACCAUCCACCCUCGACACACUUAAAGGUCAUAGGCAAUGGUCGGAGGUGAAACGUAGAAUAUCAACUUUAUUGUCUAGAAGAACGACCCAGAAAGCGAGUUCAAUCUUCCUAGUGUCUAAUUUGCACCCUAAAAUUGAAUAAAACGGUUAAAAUAUA